GUGUCAGCAGCCGCGGUAAUACGGAGGGAGCAAGCGUUACUCGGAAUUAUUGGGCGUAAAGGGCGCGUAGGCGAUUCAAAAAGUCAACUGUGAAAGCCCAGGGCCUAACCCUGGAAGUGCAGCUGAUACUGUUGAAUUUGAGUUCCGGAGAGGAAGGCAGAAUUCCCGGUGUAGCGGUGAAAUGCGUAGAUAUCGGGAGGAAUACCAGUGGCGAAGGCGGCCUUCUGGACGGAUACUGACGCUGAGGCGCGAAAGCCAGGGGAGCAAACGGGAUUAGAAACCCCCGUAGUCC
Molecule: ribosomal RNA, 292 nt
Filed under: uncultured bacterium
Lineage: Bacteria
Description: partial 16S ribosomal RNA
Rfam family: Bacterial small subunit ribosomal RNA
Source: RNAcentral